UAAAUUGCUUGUUAGUUACCAAAGACAGUAGCUGUUGAGCGAAGCGAAAUCCUGAGUAUUAUCGAAGGACCGCCGAAACGAAACUUAAUCCGCUACCGAGGUUGAACGAAGUGAAAUCCUGAGCAAAGUCGAAGGAUUACAAAAAAGUUUAAUAAAUCUUUGGUAUUUAUAAGGCCAAAGAUUUUUUUAUGCCGAC
The sequence is a regulatory RNA element, 196 nucleotides long. It matches the Rfam family "Ribosomal protein L10 leader". Rfam says of the family: This family is a putative r-protein leader autoregulatory structure found in B. subtilis and other low-GC Gram-positive bacteria. It is located in the 5' untranslated regions of mRNAs encoding ribosomal proteins L10 and L12 (rplJ-rplL). A Rho-independent transcription terminator structure that is probably involved in regulation is included at the 3' end. The record is from Rfam.